GAUGAACGCUAGCUACAGGCUUAACACAUGCAAGUCGAGGGGAAACGACAUCGAAAGCUUGCUUUUGAUGGGCGUCGACCGGCGCACGGGUGAGUAACGCGUAUCCAACCUGCCCACCACUUGGGGAUAACCUUGCGAAAGUAAGACUAAUACCCAAUGAUAUCUCUAGAAGACAUCUGAAAGAGAUUAAAGAUUUAUCGGUGAUGGAUGGGGAUGCGUCUGAUUAGCUUGUUGGCGGGGUAACGGCCCACCAAGGCAACGAUCAGUAGGGGUUCUGAGAGGAAGGUCCCCCACAUUGGAACUGAGACACGGUCCAAACUCCUACGGGAGGCAGCAGUGAGGAAUAUUGGUCAAUGGGCGAGAGCCUGAACCAGCCAAGUAGCGUGCAGGAUGACGGCCCUAUGGGUUGUAAACUGCUUUUAUAAGGGAAUAAAGUUAGUCUCGUGAGACUUUUUGCAUGUACCUUAUGAAUAAGGACCGGCUAAUUCCGUGCCAGCAGCCGCGGUAAUACGGAAGGUCCGGGCGUUAUCCGGAUUUAUUGGGUUUAAAGGGAGCGUAGGCCGGAGAUUAAGCGUGUUGUGAAAUGUAGAUGCUCAACAUCUGAACUGCAGCGCGAACUGGUUUCCUUGAGUACGCACAAAGUGGGCGGAAUUCGUGGUGUAGCGGUGAAAUGCUUAGAUAUCACGAAGAACUCCGAUUGCGAAGGCAGCUCACUGGAGCGCAACUGACGCUGAAGCUCGAAAGUGCGGGUAUCGAACAGGAUUAGAUACCCUGGUAGUCCGCACGGUAAACGAUGGAUGCCCGCUGUUGGUCUGAAUAGGUCAGCGGCCAAGCGAAAGCAUUAAGCAUCCCACCUGGG
Molecule: ribosomal RNA, 859 nt
Filed under: uncultured Bacteroidales bacterium
Lineage: Bacteria; Pseudomonadati; Bacteroidota; Bacteroidia; Bacteroidales
Description: bacterial SSU rRNA
Rfam family: Bacterial small subunit ribosomal RNA
Source: RNAcentral